UGGAGUUAGACACAGUUGGACCUCUGCAUCUAUGGAUUUUGCAUCUAUGGAUUCCAUCAUCCAUGGCUUGAAAAUAUCCCAAAUACAAGCAGUUGCCAAAUUAUGAACAAGAUUGGUCUGCUUGUUUUUAAGUUGAAUUUGUAUAUGUCGGAACAGGUACAUUUUAAAGUGUAACUCCAGCAAUAUGUGUGUGUGUGUGUUUGUGCUUCAGUGAAAACACCUUUUCCUCAUGAUAACUCUUUCCCUUUUGAGGGGUAGAUUUUUCUCACUCCUGGUUUCUCUCUCCCAUUCUAAACUAUGAGUCGUUUGUAAGUCAGAUGUUUGUAGCUCUGUAAAUAAAUACAUUCAAAAAGUAAACCUUGAUUUUUGCCGUUUGAUAUAAGGGACACCAAAUUGCUACUCUUUUGUAUAUAAUGCAAUCAGAAGAUUUUGUAUUUCUUGGGCUACUGAUGGUCCUGGAACCAAACGUAUUUUUACUAAUAUGUGCAUUUUUAUAGUCUUUUUAAAAAAAAUCUUUUGGCUGGAAUCCUAUAUUAUGGCUUACAUUAUGUAACUUUACAUAUACCUAACUAUGUAGCAGAUGUAAAUACCAUUCAGGAUUGUGGCCAGUUUAUGUAUUUGUACACAUCUUGCCUUUUGACUGAAUUAUUUUGUACCCAUUUCCCUCCCAAAUAUGCAUAUGUUUAGUUGCACCCAUUUUUCAAAGCUGUUCAUGGUUUUUGUGUGCAUCCUGAACCCUGACAAUGCCCAGAUUUCCAAGCCGAUAUUACCGUUGUCCCAUGCCAAGAGAAGCACUGUAUUUUUGUGUGAAAUAUGAACUCAAUGAUCCCCCCUCCAUUCUUACCCUUAAGUCCAGGUAAUCUGAUAAGGUGAGCCUGGUUCUUGGCUCCUGAAGCAAGGAACCUAACUUAAUCAUUUAUUUUUCUUUUGUUUAUUUAAUAUAUUUACAUAAGAAUGUGUACCUUCCACUCCUAAAACCUACCACACUUCUGAAACUAGUGCAUUCCACUACCAGCUAAAAUGAAAGAGGAAAAUGGCUGUUAUACUCCUUGAACACAUCUUAUUUUUUAAAAUUAAAACUGAGCUCCUCCAUUGUAUUUGCACAGUGUAAAUUUACAUGCAUGUAUUUAAAGGGUGAUUGCACUACUACACCACUCUUCUGGCGAAUACCACCAUCAUGCAGCCAACUGCCUAUCUGUGAAUGAGCUUGCUGUUUCUACAAUCCCAGAACAUCAAGAGGGAGUUACACAUAGUGGGAUCUCUGAAGGUACUGACAAACAGCGAUGCAUUAUCCAAGAUUGUGCAAGAUGCAUGUCCAAAAAUUUACACUUGUGGAACUCUGCUUAUGCAAUUGUGAACUGAAUACAGACAUUACACAGUGCAGUAUGACCCCCCUUAUCCUUAUGGACUAUACUGUGGAAACUGGAAUCUAUAGAUGAAAGCAAACCCUAUUGAAAUGAAUGCCUCCUGAAGUUAUCAGAGUUGCCCUGAAGGAUCUGGAAAAUUCCCUGAGAAUCCUGGGACAUUUAGUUUGAUGAGGCAGAGAAGGCGAAGGAUCUUGCCCAACUAUAACUCUCAUGAUUUCAUAGGAUUGAGCCAUGGCAGUUGAAGUGGUGGCAGGUAAAGGUAAAGGUUUUCCCCUGAUAUUAAGUCCAGUUGUGUCCGACUCUAAGGGUUGGUGCUCAUCUCCAUUUCUAAGCUGAAAAACCAGUAUUGACACCUCCAAGGUCAUGUGGCUGGCAUGACUGAAUGAAGCGCUGUUACCUUCCCACCGGAUCCGUACCUAUUGAUCUACUCACAUUUGCAUGUUUUCGAACUGCUAGGUUGGCAGAAGCUGGGGCUAACCGUGGGUGUUCAUUCCGCUCCCUGGAUUCAAACCUGUGACCUUUCGGUCUGCAAGUUCAGCAGCUCAGCGCUUUAACACGCUGCGCCACUGGGGCUCCACGAAGUGGUGGCAAACUGCAUUAAUCCCACAGUGCAGAUGCAGCCUUAAUCUGCACAGAAACUCCAAACCAUGGGCCCUUUCACAAUACACAGUUAUCCAAGAUUCUCCUUUAACUGCCAUGGCAACCUCCUCUGGAAUCCUGGGAUUUGUGGUUUAGGGAGAGAUAUUUCGAUUUCUCAACCAGAAAGGGUUAGUGCUUACAAGCUCCAAGAUUCAUGGCAGCUAAAUUUGGAUUACUGUGCUAUAAUUAAGGCUCGUGAAACAGUCACAAGUCUUUCUGAGUCAGUGUCAGUGCAGAAUGUACAAAAACUUCCCAUUCAUUUUUCCACCUAGACUUCACCAAAGGAUUAUUGUGAGGUUAACAGUGCAGGAGAGAAACAGCAGACAUCUUUUCUGGAAGCUGCCUUGGGUCCCAUGCCGGGAGAAAAGCAGCCUUCAAGUCAUCUGUUGACUUAUAGUGGCACCAUAAGUCGGGUUUUCUUAAGCAAGGAAUAUAUUCCAGUUGCCCAUUUUGAAACAUGGUCUACAGCAAUUGUAUUUACAGUAGAGUCUCACUUAUCCAACAUAAAUGGGCCGGCAGAACGUUGGAUAAGCGAAUAUGUUGGAUAAUAAGGAGAGAUUAAGAAAAAGUCUAUUAAACAUCAAAAUAGGUUAUGAUUUUACAAAUUAAGCACCAAAACAUCAUGUUAUACAACAAAUUUAACAGAAAAAGUAGUUCAUUACACAUUAAAGCUAGGUAGUAAUUACUGUAUUUAUGAAUUUAGCACCAAAAUAUCACAAUGCAUUGAAAAUAUUGAUUACAAAAAUGUGUUGGCUAAUCCAGAAUGUUGGAUAAGUGAGACUCUACUGUAUUUGUGGUCUUCCAUCCAAAUGCUAACCAGAGUUGACCCUACUUGGCCUCCAAGAUCAGACCUAAACAAACAAACAUGCUAACAAAAAAUUUUCUGAGCUCUGUCACAUGAAAUAAAAAUAAACAUGAAAACAAUGAUGUAAUUGUUGUUGACAAUAUUCUUGUUAUUGCUGGAUUAUUACACUGUUAAUAACUAGUAGUCACAUGCAUUUUAGGGCUGUCUAUGAACAGUUGAAGGUCUAAAACCGUUUUUUUUAAUGUUCUAAAUCCCGUAGCUGGUCCCAACUAGAGUUGUCCCAUGGAAUCAAUUGUUGAAUGGUAAGUCAACCGUUAUGGAAACCCCAUUCAGUCAGUCAAUCUUCUCUAGCUGUGGACCAACUGUUAGAUGUUGGCCUCUAUAUCAGUGAAAGCUGAGGGACAGAGGAUGUUGGAUUCCACGUAUUGAACUCAUGAAGAUACAGUUGUGCACAGGAUAUUAAGUGUGGGUUGGGGGACAGCAGAUGAUGCAUUAGCAUGAGCAAGCCAGGCACUUCCACCACGAGACCUGGGAACUUGACCUUAGGUGCCCUUCCAGUUACACCUGGGGCAAAGACGCUGGAUCCACCUUCCUUCCCACUCACUUUGGGAAUGAGUAAUCACUUUCAUUUUCCCUUGGCUACAUUUCUCCUCUCUCCCUCCCUCCCUCUCUCCUUCUCCCCCCUCUCUCUCUCUCUCUCUUUUUGCCAUGAGUUAUGAUAACAUGUAAGCAGCUUAUAGAAUUCUUAUCAGCAGACGCUGAGCACAAUGCAACAAUUAACUCUUAACGACAGCCGCCUCUAACUAUGAGUGACAUGUCAUAAAUUAUGUUUGAACUGGCUCCUGGGUUCUCCUCCACCACCCAGCAGCCGGCCGUCGUAGAAAGUUGCGCCCGGCUGCCUUAAUCCCACUUGGACGGGUGCCCUGGUGCCUCCACCCCCAUCUCUCUCAAUUUUGCAAGCCCCCCCCCCCCUCCUUCGCCCUUUCCAAUUGCAAGGAGCAAAAGCAGAGCACUGGGCCACAUUGGCUUUCGCCAGCAAGGGAACAAUCUUUGUUUCUGUUACUGUCUUAGGCCAAGGACCCGAAAGCCAGCCCAGCUAUGGCAUCAACAGGUCCCGCAGGCAAAGAACUCCUGGCACUCCCAGCCAACCCUCCAACAAACCCCUUUUUAUCCUCUGUUUUCUAGGAAGAAUGAUGAUAGAGGGGCCCUGCUGCUGAUGAGUCAGAUUUGUGGUGGGCCUGGAGAGAAGUCCCGUAAGUGGGGUGUACUGUAAAACAGCGGCUCCCAUUCAUUGAGGCCCUGUGUGUAAUAAACCACCCAAAAUGGGGGGAGGGGGAGGAGGGGAGGGGAGGAAGAGAAGAGGAGGAGGAGGAGGAGACAGGCAGCUGCAGAGAGCAGGCACAAACAACCCACUUCAUUCUUUGGGAGCCAAAACUUUCUAAUUUGCUUCUGGGCAGUUUCGGCUCCCUGGCAUCCUCUGGGAGCGGACAAUGGCCGGGUCUUCUUGAUCCCACCCAAGUUCUGCUCUUGGGAAGUUCUGAGGUCCAAGGGACCACUUUGUUUGGAACCCCAAAUGUAGCCACAAGGAUGAAUAGAGAAAGAAAAGCAUGGCUCAGGGACAUCAGAAAAGUUUAAAGUGGGGCAAGGGAGCCUCUCUCCUCCAUCCCCCCCCCCAACGAAUCUAGCUGACCUACUGGAGGAGGGGGCGGAAUGGGAUUUGGUCCCAACAAAGCAUCAAAUGAAGGCAAAAAAGGAGGGAGAAAGAGCCCAAUGAAUGGAGGGUUUCCUCCCCCCCCCCCAAAUCCCCACGCAAGGCUGACAUAUUUAGGAGUUGCUGAGUUCAGUGAAGCUUGGAUUUUGGGAAAUGAGGUAGUGGGUUUCUUCUUUUAAACCAUCGCAACGAUAGCAGAGUGCACAGCCAGACAUGGGUUCCACUGCAAAAUAUUGUAGGCAGUAUUUUGUAUGCAAUGUGAAAUGUAAAAAUAAAAUAAUAAAGGGGUUGGUGAUUGGAAAUGCCUUGAUAAAAGGAAAAGCAAGACACGAGAUGGAACCGGAGAAGCUGGGAAAUGUUCAAUCUUGGUAUGUGUGAAGGGAAAUGAUCAGUAGGGCUGGACAAGUUUACACCUAGCCUUCCACAGUUGCUGGGUUUAGGGGUUCAGAACCCCAAUGAAAGUGGGAAAAUCAUGAAUUAAAAAAACACAGGGUUGUUGUAUGUAUUGCAGGCUGUAUGGCCAUGUUCUAGAAGGAUUCUCUCCUGACGUUUGGCCCACAUCUAUGGCAGGCAUCCUCAGAGGUUGUGAGUCAUGGAGAAACUAGGCAAGGAAGGUUAAUAUAUAUCUGUGGAGAGUCCAGGGUGUGAGAAGAGUUCUUUGUCAGUUGGAAGUCAGCGUGAAUGUUGCAGUUAAUCAUUUUAAUUAGCAUUGGAAAGGUUUGUCUCUUGCCUGGAGGGCAUCCUUUGUUCAGAGUCAUUAGCCGUCCCUGGAGCUCCUCUGCCCUCAGAGUGUUGCUUCCCAUCUACUGUUCUGAUUUUUGAGAACAGUAGAUGGGAAGCAACGUCAGGAGAGAAUACUUCUAGAACAUGGCCAUACAGCCUGGAAUACAUACAACAACUCUGUGAUCCCGGCCAUGAAGGCCUUUGACAACACAUAAAAAAACACAUUUUUUUAACCUAAGAGAACACCUGUCUGAAAAUUCCUAGGUCCUCCAGGGUGCUAUUAUGGUCAAUCUAUGAAAGAAGUUAAUCAUAGUGUCAUCCUGGGGGAUCUAGAAAUUCCUGAAAAAUCAUAUUAAUCAAAUCGUGAAUAGCUAUAUCCACAAAAGUUAAACUCACAAAUGUUAAACUUACAGACGUAAAAGGCUGAGAACCUUCCCAUUCAAACUUUCCAGUAACUGAGGUAUUAUGUAUACUAUGCUGGGUGGCCAGUUGACUAUCCCUAGUGGUACCAUUAUAAUGAUGUAAACCACAGUUGCUUACAACUUGUCAUAAAAACACACACACAGACACACACACACAAACACACCAUAUUCCCCUAUAACAGGGGUCCCCAAACUAAGGCCCCAUCGAAGUUAUUUAUCCGGCCCCCACACACAAGGGCAGAAGGGGGUUGGGCUAAAUGACCCAAGGGUCUCUUCUUCUCUUACAACCCUUAUUAUUAUUAUUAUUAUUAUUAUUAUUAUUAUUAUUAUUAUUAUUAUUAUUAUUAUUACACAUUGAGGCUAGGUGGCCAUCUGUCAGGGAUCCUUUGCUUGUGCUUUUGGUGCACAAAGGCAGAAGAAGUUGGAUUAAAUGGCCCAAGGGGUCUCUUCCAACCCUCUUUAUUAUUAUUAUUAUUAUUAUUAUUAUUAUUAUUAUUAUUAUUAUUAUUAUUAACAUUGAGGCUGGGCGGCCAUCUGUCAAGGGUGCUUUGCUUGUGCUUUUGGCGCACAAAAGCAGAAGGGGAUUGAACUCAAUGGCCCAAAGGGUCUCUUCCAACCCCCUUUAUUGUUGUUGUUGUUGUUGUUGUUGUUAAUUAUUAUUGCUUGGUGGCCAACUAUAGUCCGGCCCUCCAAUGGUCCAAAGGAUCGUAAACCGGCCUCCUGUUUAAAAAGUUUGGGGACCCCUGCCCUAUAAUCUUAAUUAAAGGGGUUGCUUCCAGAUCAAGAGAAAUAAAGGGAUUACGGUAUUCUUGCUUACUGAAGGAAACAGGAUAUGGAACUUUAACUCUAACCAAGGUGCUCCUAGUCAGAAGAUUGGAAGGUGAACCCUGGCCUCACAAUAACUGGGAGGGAAGGAGGAAGCUAAGUACAUACAUCAAUUUUCUAGGAAGUCUUUGCAAGCUGCAGCAACCAACGGAUGAAAAUUGUAGCAAGUUGCUGCUCCAAUAAGAGUUGCACUAGAGACCUGGACAUAGAACUGUCUCUUAUCCAGAGGUGACUUGAGUCCAUCAAGCUGGAGAACUGGCACUCUAAUCUUUUACCUGGACAUGAAAGGAAGUAUAUAUGAUCUAUACGGUUCCUUGCUGCAAGAUCUUAUGAUGAGGGCCAACUUGGACAGCUUUCAAGGGGACUUAAGCAAAUUAAAGGAGGAUAAGACACUCAGUGGUGACUAAUCCAGGUAGGAGCUGACCCAUGAAAACUGGAGACUCAAGGCUGGGCCAGGAUGGGCCUAAAGAGCUGGCAACCCUAACAUGAUUAGUCACCACUGAAUGUCUCAUCCUCCUUUAAUUUCUUCAAAUCUCUUUGAAAGCUGUCCAAGUUGGCCUUCAUCACGACAUCUUGUGGCAAGGAACCCCAUAGGUUUAUAAGUGCCGUGUGAAGGAGAACUUCCCUUUAUCUUGCCCAAAUUUCCCAAUACUGAACAACUACCACAACGUGAAAUUCUCAUUUUAGACAGUCACUGCUAUUUAAAUCCAUAUGAAACUGAGAUGUGUUUUUCCCUAGUCUGUGCACUUGCCUACAUUGAAUCACAUUUAUCAUUGUCAAGUCCUCCUGCCCAGUCCGGGCAGAUUUCUUCAGAGAUCUUCUCAAUUCCUUUUUGUAAAAACUGUCCUAAGUAAGUUCUGUGCCAUUGACAACUUGGUUAUCUCAGCGUUCACCCCUAAAUUUGGAUCAUUUAUGCAAAAGUUGAAAACACAAUAUAGACCCCUUUGGGACUCCGCAGUGUGCUUCUUCUUUAACCAGUUUCCAGUCCAUAAAAACUCAUCUCCAAUCCUAUGACUAGUAAGUAGGUUUGCUGAGGAGACAUGGUGAGUAACUCUGUCAAAGCCUUUGAGAAGCUCAUGUAUUCACCUUUCUGUUCUUGUUUAUUGACAUUCACAGUUUUCAGAGUUACUCAUCCAUCACUGUGAAAACAUGUCCCAUCAUUCAGAAUGGAAAGAAAGCUACAGUGAAAUUCUGACAUCUUUUUGUCUGUCUGGCUGUUACUAAUCUCUCUGUUUCUCCGUUUCUCUCUCAUCUGUCUGUCUACCUACUUCUCUGUCUCCCAUCCAUCCAUCCAUCCAUCCAUCCAUCCAUCCACACUUGUUCAGUGCCCCAUGCAGGGCAAACAGGGGGCCCUGGCUUCAGCUUCAGUGUGGCACUGGGUAUGCUAGGGAUUUUAGUCUGAACUUUAUUGAGGAACCUUGAUCUAUUAGGUUGGAUAGUUCUGUUAAAGUUUGGACCAAAACCUGGAGCGGAUUCACCAUCCCACAGAGCUGGAAGCCACCAGCUACAACUGCCUGGAACAUGUCUCUGUUUUCCUAUUUUAAGUCUGCUGCUGAAAUUAGUGGUUUAUAUCGAAGCAAAAAAUUUUUUUGGCACAAAUGUUUUCCUCAAGGGCUUUUCCAGACCAUUGCUUGAUGUCACUUAUUGCUCAUUUGUGGCUGAGGAUUUUGACAGGCUCUCAGUGUAAAUGGUGACAUCUGUUUGUGAGAAAAUACAUUUUGCUAACCCCCAUAUUCAAGAUCAGGGAAAAAGUGGGAAUUGUUUCUUAAAGGAGGAGAACUUCCCUUGUUGAUUUCACAUGUCUUCAUCUUCAAGUAGAGUCUCCCAGUCUUGCACUGAGUCAUGAACUGGGCUUAUAAUUCUACUUUAAUCUUAUGUCUCCAUGAUCUAAUAGAAUCCAGGGUUUGUAGUCAAAUGAAGCACUAGAGCUCUCUGGUUGAGGAUUAUUAAUACCCCUCACCAAACUACAAAUCCCAGGAGUUCAUUGGGUGGAACCAUGGCAGUUAAAAUGUUUUCAAUAUAUCAUGAUAUUUUAGCGCUAAAUUCAUAAAUGCAGUAAUUACAACAUAACAUUACUGCGUAUUGAACUACUUUUUCUGUCUUUGUUGUAUAACAUGAUGUUUUGGUGCUUAAUUUGUAAAAGCAUAACCUAAUUUGAUGUUUCAUAGGCUUUUCCUUAAUCCCUCCUUAUUAUCCAAGAUAUUCGCUUAUCCAAGCUUCUGCCGGUCCAUUUAGCUUGGAUAAGUGAGACUCUACUGUACUUCUUUUUUAUUCCACCUUUCUCCCAAUAUGAAGUCUCAAGGCAGCUCACAAUAGAUAUAAAUCAAUGCAAAUAAAAAUGUAUAUGCUACUAAAAUACAAAACUAAAAACUCAAAAAAGACUCAUUAUUACAACAGUGAAACACUGAAAUAUUAAAAUGCAUUAAAAUCUUUUGGGACUGCAAUUUUCAUAAUCCCCUAAUCAUGAACCCCCCCCCCCCAAACUUUCCUGAUCUCUACUGUCCAUUUAAAACAAAAUUAGGAUGCGUGUGUAUGUUAAAGUAAGUAAAUAUGUUAUUGGAGUGUUUGUUUUAGAUUUGGUUCUAUAGUACAUGAUAGUAGUUAGAUAGCUGCGAAGUUUUAGCAAUAUAUACAGGAUAAGUAAAAAAUCAGCAAGGUGUUUCAAUAUUUAAUAACUCCUUUAUUUUAUUUUAUUUCUUUCAAUUAGAUUUUUAUUAAAAGGUUUUUUAAACAAGUGUAUAUAAAAAAAACAAAAAAUAGGAAAAUGAGGAAGGAAAAAGGAAAAAAAGGGAGGGGGAAGGGUGAUGGGGAAACAGAACAUAAUAAAGGAAAAAAGUGUGUGGGGGAGUUGAGAUAAAGGUAAGGGGGUAAUUUGUCAGUCUUCCAUUUUCAUUGCUUCGGGUUGUUUGCUUUCUAGUUCUUCAUAUCUUUCCUUUUUUUUUUUAACUGGGUGGAUUUGUUAAAUUGUGUAUUAAUUCCGACAAAGAUUUUGUUAUUCCUUUGAUAAAUUCUUCAACUUACAUUCCUUACAUUCCUCAUAAUAUGUCCAGUCUGUACGUUUUAUUGGUUUUCCUUUAUGUUGUUUAAUCAAAAAUGUUAAUGCAUCCAUAUCACAUACUUUGUCCAAUUUACCAAGCCAUUCUUCCAUGUUUGGGAUAUUCUGUGUUUUCCAAUGCUUUGCAAGUAUAAUUCUUGCCGCUGUAUUCAUGUAUGUAAAUAAAAUGUCAAUAAAAGGACAAUAACUCCUUUAUUUUUGUUUUGUUUUUAAUUUACAAUACUAUAGCAUCCUUCCCCCCAAAAGGUUAUUAAUUAUUAUUAUAAUAAUUAAUAAUUAUGAUUACUUAUUGUAGGUUCGAACUAUCUGCCCACUCAACAAUAGGAUACUUUGCCAUUAUUAUCUUGCACUUUAUUGACUACUUUAGCUGUGAAACUACUUCUCCCAUUUUGAAAUAUUCUGCACUUUGGCCCAGAUCCGUGUUUUAGUCUCCCGUUUUUAACAUUUUAUGCUCUAUGUUGAUUUUUAUGACUGUUUUAUUAAUGCUGAUGUUUUAUUGUUGGGAUAUUUGUUCAUUGUUUUAUUGCUGUUUGUGUCGGGCAAGGCCCCAUGUAAGCCGCUCCGAGUCCCUCCGGGGAGAUGGGGCGGGGUAUAAAAAUAAAGUUAUUAUUAUUAUUAUUAUUAUUAUUAAAACACCAGAUCACUUUUGGGCCAUCCUGUAUUAUAUAAAUUCUACUCCUUUUUGUGGUGUUGUUGUUGUUGUUGUUGUUGUUGUUGUUGUUGUUGUUGUUCUUUUAUUUUUUUUCUGAAUAAAAAUAGUUUACAAUGAAAUUAGGAAUAGUUGAUUUUCUUUCUUUCUUUUUCCUGGUGUGGGUAGUGUUGGUGUUACAACACAGUUACGACACAGCAAGUGCAGCGGUCUGGGGAUUAGCCGGGGAGCUUAGGGAGGAAUCCUAUUCAUUCUUGAUCCAAGCAGGUGCAAAGCAUGGUGGGAAUGCCAUAGGAGGACCUCCCUUUGCCUCACCACAGGCACACAUUCCAGGAGUUGUUGUGCCACAGUCGAGCCCAGACCCAGCUGACCCCAAUGGGACGCCCCACACCUCCCGGGAUGGUCUGCUUUGUGUGGCUGUGUGUCAGGAAGACCUUUGGGAAGCAUCAGAGUGGAAGGCAUUCCGACGCUUCUGGAAUUCCUGCAGGUGUUUCUGAAUAGGGAAGAGGGGCUCCUUUCACAGGCUUGCAUCUGCAUCCAUCAUGUGCAUUUGGGCAUGUGAUCGGGCUGUUUGUUUGUUUGCCUGGCUGACUGAUGCGGAGCAUCCCUAGCAAAAGGUUGCCAAUGCCAACAGAAAAGCCCUGUCUUCUCGGGAAUGUUUCAGGCCUCCUCUCUCCUGGGUGAGUCCUGGCCUUUCGGGAACAGUGUGCCCGAGUCAUACGUUUGCGAGUAAAAUGACAAACUGCAUGACAAUCGCCUCUGGGAAAAAGAUGAGUUGGACUGUGCAUUGCGUUAAAAAUGAUCACAUGAGGAUUAGUGUCUAACCCUGGUCUAACAUUCAGAAAGAGCUUGAAAACCUGGCUCUUUACUCAGGCCUUUAGUUAAAGAUUGCUCAUCCCCAUAGCAAUCUGUAUCUGUGACCAUUCCUGUACCGGUUUGCACUUUUUACCUUUGUCAACUUGAUAUAGACACAGGGUCUACUCCCAUCCCAAUUUGCACUUCCAAGAAUUUGCAGCACUUUAUCAGUCACCUCAUGUUUACAAUAUUUAUAUGGUGCACCUUACCCAGUCUCUUUUACAACCUCUCCGUUUUAAUCCAUGUUUUUAUUAGUUCUUGUCAUUUGUUUUUAAUGGCUAAUGUUUAAAUUUUUAUAAUUCUGCAUGUCUUUUGUCUAUUGUUGUGUUUUAUAUUGCUAUUGUUUUUAUUCGGGCUUGGCCCCAUGUAAGCUGCCCUGAGUCCCCUUUGGGGAGAUAGAGGCGGGAUAUAAAAAUAAAGUUGUUAUUAUUAUUAUUAUUAUUAUUAUUAUUAUUAUUAUUAUUAUUAUUUCAAUGGGGGGACCCAACAUAUUUUGGAAAAAGCACUCCCCCCUCACCAAACAACAUUAAGCUUUGUCAGUAUGGAUAAUGUAAAAAAAAAAAUGCUGUUGGUAGUGAGAUUCUGGGUGUUGCCAUUUGAAAAUAAUUUUCCCCAAAAGAGCAAUUUUCUAACUCUCAUAUGUUAAUACAAUAUGGUACCAUGUGAAUAUGGACCUCCCGGUGGUGCAGUGGUUUAAACCACUGAGCUGCUGAACUUGCUGACCGAAAGGCUGGUGAUUUGAAUCCGGGGAUCAGGGUGAGCUCUUGUUGUCAGCCCCAGCUUCUGCCAACCAAGCAGUUCGAAAACAUGCAAAUGUGAGUAGAUCAAUAGGUUCUGCUCUGGCAGGAAGGUAAUGGUGUUCCAUGCAGUCAUUCCGGCCACAUGACCUUGGAGGUGUCUAUGGACAAUGCCUGCUCUCCGGCUUAGAAAUGGAGAUGAGCACCAGCCUCCAGAGUCGGACACGACUACACUUAAUGUCAGGGGAAAACCUUUAUCUUUUUUUACCAUGUGAAUAAUAUCAAAUGAGGGCUUUCCUUUAAUAAAAAAUAAUUUACACACAACUUUCACUGUUCUCAGACACAAAAGUUAAGUGAGAUUUAUUGAUGUUUAGAUUACCGUUCAACUAAUUUAUCUAUCUAUCUACCUAUUUAUUUAUACCCCACUUUUCUCCCAUCCAGGACCUCCGAUAAACUAAAAAAGCAAAUAAAAAGAAUUGCUAAAGAAUGCUGAUCAGAGAACAACACCCUAUUUAUAAAGGGGAAGAGAAAGGCACUGACUUAUUGAACCACCAAUUUCUUCUCCACUUGAACAGACAUUCAAGAGUCUUCCAGGCAAGGAGUUGUGGAGUUGUGUCCCACAGGAGAUAUAUAGGUCCUGGGGCAUCUUUGUAGCUUUUAUUUCUGCUGAAUCCAAAAGCUCAAUUCCCUUAGAAAUUAUUUAACUGAAAAAAACCCUGGUAUUUCCUCUCUGAAAUGCCCAAAUUGCCACAAAAACAUGGCAGUUGGAUUUGGCCCAACUAGAUGCAUCUCUCCCCAACUUGGGAUGACUAAUGGCAGCUCCCUGGGCUCUAGUUGUGGAUGGAGCUGCUCAGCAGCCUACUAUGACAUGCAUUUAUAUAUCUUAUUCACCAUAUUUCAAAGUAUGGUUGUGAAAGCUCAUCGGUGAAGAAUACUGAUAGAAAGAAAAUCAAAUGUAAUGUUGGAAAAGGUUCUAGGGAUACUAUGGGCUCCUAAAAAGACCAAUAAAUGGGUCCUAGAGCAAAUCAAUUCUGAACUCUUCAUACCAGCCAAGAUGACUAAACUGAGGCUGUUGUACUUUGGCCAUACCAUGAGAAUACAUGACACACUGGAAUAGCAAAGACAAUAAUAUUUGGCAAGGUGAAGAGCAGUAGGAAAAGAGGAAGACCACAUUAUAGACAGAUAGACUCAAUCAAAGAUUCCUCAAUCCUGGGUCUGCAAGAUAAUGGGUUGAUUUGGAAACCUGUCAUAGAUAAUAAGGUGAUUUGGAGGUCUCUCAUUCAUAGAGUUGACAAAAAUUGAAAUUGACUUGACAGCAGUUGACAACAAAAACUUUCUAGUCAUUCUCUCAAAGAACAUAAGGGCUUUCCUCACCACUUUGUUCUUACAACAACCCUUUAAGGUAAACCAGGUUCAAAAAGAGAGAUUGACACCAGAUGGCAGAGUGAGUUUCAUGGCUAGAUGGUGGCUUGAAACUGGGAUCUCCCACAUCCCACUCCAGCUCCGAUGUCUGAACCACACAGGCUCACAGGUAUUAAUAUCAGCAGGCCAUCAAAGAUCAGCAGCCACUUCUUUAAGAUAUAUUUGUUGGUAACUCAUAGCUCCAACCCAGUGGUGUCCAACCUUUGGUCCUCCAGGUGUUUUGAACUUCAGCUCCCAGAAUUCGUGAACAUUGGACAAGCUUUUGGGCUUCUGGGAGCUGGAGGACCACUGACUAACCAAUCAAUGAACUGAAUAAAAUCCAUACCAUUUCUCCAGCUAAUAUCUUUUAAACUAAUCAGCAUUCAUUGUUCGUUAUAUUUGUAUCACCUUAUGGAAAAUAUGGAUUCCAAUCCUGUGUCACUUCUGUCUUUUCAGGUAUAAGCCCCACUGAGUUCAAUGAAGCUUGGUUUUAAUAGGGGACAUAGGAUUAGAAUUUCAGUGCUGUGCUAGGACCAUAAAAUACAUUCAUUCUCAGUACUUCAAUAAUCAUAAUCUAUGGUUCAAACUUAACAAUAAAUCAUUGUUGUCUAUUCUGUCCUAAAAGGCCAAGCUCACUUUAUAAUUGACAUUUGUUCGUGUUAUGAUCUGGGCUCAAUAGUCUGCUCUUUAAUACAAAGCAGUAUUAUUAAUUUACUUUAUAGUCACUUUUGUUUAACUCUUUCUUGUAUUUCUUGCAUAGAACCUCCUAAUGAUCCUGCAUUUUGUAGCUGUCUUUAAUAGCCACCAAAAAUGCAUGAACUGGAAGCUGCUUUGAAAGGAGAAAUAUGGACUACUUUCUCUUCUUUUCCUAUUUUCUUUUUAAAAUGCAUACAUUCCAAUGUUAGCGUUUUCCAUAAACUGUCCACAGUCACACACAUAUGCACACAUAUUUUUUGUGUGUGUCAGGAGCCACCGGAGUUGCUUCUGGAGUGAGAGAAUUGGCCGUCUGCAAGGACGUUGCCCAGGGGACACCCGGAUGUUUUGAUGUUUUUACCAUCCUUGUGGGAGGCUUCUCUCAUGCCCCCGCAUGGAGCUGGAGCUGAUAGAGGGAGCUCAUCCGCGCUCUCCCCGGGUGGGAUUCGAACCUGGCAGCUUCAGGUCAGCAACCCAACCUUCAAGUCACAAGGCUUUUAUCCCCUAGGCCAGUGAUGGCCAACCUAUGACAUGCGUGUCAGCACUGACAUGCCUAGCCAUUUUUGCUGACACGCUGCUGCAUGCAGAUUGAUUGGAUGACUAUGUCUUUUGUGGCCAAAUUUGGUGUGAUUUGGUCCAGUGUUUUUGUUGUUUACUCCAUGGGAAUUAUGCACAUUACAUUAUAUAUAUAUAUAUAUAUAUAUAUAUAUAUAUAUAUAUAUACUAUUACAUUAUUAUAUUAUUCAUUAUUCAUGACUACAUUGAAACUAGAAGAGAGAGAAAUCAGCGUAGAAACUGCAAGAGGUACCAUAGAUUGUUGUACAUGGAAAUAAUGGUAGUAAAUAGUUUUUGAUUUAUUGAAUACAGUUAUAUAUUACAAUUAUAUAUUUUUGUUAUUUAAACUACACAUAUUGCAAAAUUAUGGUUUUUUUCUCGAAGUGACACACCACCCAAGUCAUGCUAGAUUUUUUUUGUGAAUUUUGACACAGCAAGCACAAAAGGUUGCCCAUCAUUGCCCUAGGCCACCGGAGGCUCCUAUUAUAUGCACACAUAUAAUCCAAACCUAAAGCACAAAUGAAAAACAAAACAAAAAGCAAGGGAGUAAAAAUAUAAUCAGUUCUGAUCAAUCCUAAUUUCUAAAAUUGCUCUCUUGACUUCAGGGGAUUUAAUGCUUUAAUUGAAAUGGCAGAUCUAUCUGUGUCCUUGUUAAAACCAAACGGUUGGUGCCUGUUCCUGCACAGACUCCAAAAAAUAAUAUCUUGGCGAUGGAAGGGUUAAGGAGACAACAAAAGGUUGUUUCUAAUUCCAGUGUGAGCAUUCUCAGUGAUGCACUCUGAAAAUCCAUCCUGCCAUGCUGAAAUCCUAAAUUGCCGGUGCCUUGCACCCUACCGCAACAUUUCAGUCUGCUGGAAAGGUUGCCGCAACUGUUGCUAUGGCCAAAAGCUUGGAUCUGCCUGUACCUGUCCAACAAUAAACCGCACCAGGGGAGGACUUCGGGUGAGCCGAACACCUCGGUCACACGCUAAGCAAACUCCCAACAGGUGUGCUUGCAGAACGGGCUCUCCAUCAGCGUCCUGUCAUGCAUAAAAUGUUUAUCCAAUUUGUCAAGAUAAUCUUUCCUCAAAUAAGGCCAGGGUCUAGGCCCCAGGAACAACCAGAAUUCAGGUGGUAUAAAGUAACUCUCUCCCUCUCUUUUUCCUCCCUUUCCCCUUCCCGGAGCCUCCUUCCCCUGCUCUUCUUAAUCGUUGUGUCAACUUUUCCUCAGCUUUAAGCAAACCCAGAGUCAUUAUGUCAUUUGUAAUGGGAGAUAUCUGCUCACAGGCCAAGCCGAUUUGCCAGCUAACUUCAAAAUGCUUCUAAAAGGUGCUUGGAUCCCUUUCCAAAUACACCUUUUGCAGAUGUUUCUCCAAGCCCGGUACAUCAAUGACCUGACGAUUUGUUUGACUAGCCGCAGAUAAUGGGUCUUUGAUGGCUAAAUUGGGAAUUACGUGUAAAUAAAAUACAUACUCCACUUAGGUCUUUAGUGCUACUCCAUCUCCUUACCUGUCUACCUGCUUAUAGGACAUAGAAAUGAUCACAAUGGGCGAGACCAAAGGCCCCCAUGAAUCAGUGAAGCGUCCCAUCAAGCAUGACUGGAUGGAUCUUUAUAGGAAUUGGGCCCCUCUCUUCUAUGCAAAGAACAAGCACAAAGAAGCCCAUACAAGAAUGAUGCAGACAGCUUAGAAUGGUUUUCUCUUUAGACAUUUUUUAGAUCUUCCAGUGUGGUUCUAUGACAUGCUUCCAUCAGAAGUAGCUCAUCCAGUGCUUGCAAGGGCACUGCACCGCCAUUUGCCUUGCAUGGUUAUAGUCCUAUGCUUCCAAUUUGGCUGGAACUAUACUGCCAUAUAAUGCAGUUUCAGAAUUUAUUUAUUUAUUUACAGUAUUUAUAUUCCGCCCUUCUCACCCCGAAGGGGACUCAGGGCGGAUUACAAUGAAUACAUAUAUGACAAACAUUCAAUGCCAACAGACAAACAACAUACAUUAGACAGACUCAGAGGCAUUUUAAACAUUUUUUUCAGCUUCAUGAUUCCGGCCACAGGGGGAGCUGUUGCUUCACCGUCCAGAAGUGGCUGUACUUCCUCAUUCCUUUCCUCGAGUUUUGCUGGCAGCUUUAUGGUGUUGUAAAUUAGCCUCCCGCAUAAAGCGUCCCUAAAUUUCCCUAAUUGACAGGUGCAACUGUUUUUCGGGGCUGCAUAGGUCAACAGCAAGCCGGGGCUAUUAAUGGUCGGAGGCUUAACCUGACCCGGGCUUCGAACUCAUGACCUCUUGGUCAGUAGUGAUUUAUAGCAGCUGGUUACUAGCCAGCUGCGCCACAGCCCGGCCCCAAUGUACAUUAAUUGCAUUGAACUGGAUUAUAUGGCAAUGUGCAUUAACUGCAUUGAACUGGAUUAUAUGGCAAUGUAGACUCAGACUCCCCCUCCCACCCUGAAAAUUGCGAUCCAAACAUCAAACUUUGAUUGACACUUGGAGGACUGAAUUCACUAUCAGAGAAGGAGGAAGUCUCCAACACUUAUCUGAAUAUUGUUUCCUACUUCUCUCUAUUUUCCUCUUCCUUAUAUUUCUGAAUUUCACUUGGCAAUGUACAAUAGCAUUUUCAUUGGCAGUGAUUGGCAGUUUCAAGCAUACGAUACAUUUGAUUUCUCUUCUGAAUUAUGAGUGAUGCUUCCCUUGAGGGCGUAUCUGCCUAAGACAAUGUUCUUUGUCUGGCAACAUCAUUCUUCCUCGGAUUUUCUGAUCAUUCAAAGGCAUUCUUGUAUUCCUCACUGAGCAUGUACAUCAUACUUUGUUCUGACGGCUGGAAUCUUGAAGCACGAAGAAUGUAUCUGAAAAGAGAAAGCAUUCUUGUUUGAAGCAAUCCUUUUCCCUCUCUCAGUCUCUGAGUUCACCUCUUUAUUUCUGAAAAAUUCAGCACAGAAAUCCAAAUGGAAAUAAGGUAAAUAGAAAGAGUUAGAAUAUCAAUAUGAAAUAUAUGUAUAUGCGUAUUUAUGUGUGUAACAAAUAUGAUACAUCACUAAUGUAAUCAAUUAUUCAAAUUACACAGCCACACUAAAUAAUAGUAUUGGGGAAGGUCCAUCAGACAUAAAUCAUUUGUUGAAGGGAGAAAAGACCCAGGUCUCAUUUGGUUCUUCAUUUAAACAGAAAUCAGACACAAUUUGACUAGCAGUCUUCACCAGCAGUCAAUGUAAAUCUUAUGAGUGGACCCUUGCUACCAAAAUCUAUGGAUGCUCUAAUUCAUUAUAUGCAAUGGUAUAAUAAAAUGGUACCCUGUAUAUAAAAUGGCAAAAUCAAGGUUUUCUUUUUGGGUUUUUUUUUUGGAGCAGGAAUAUUCUCAAGGCAUGGAUGGUGGAAUCUGUGGAUUCAGAAUCCACAGAUACCAAGGGUCAAAUGUAUUCCCUCAAGAUCAAAUGUUGAUGUGUUGGUAGUCCUAGCUACUCUAGGCUUUAAAAGUGAGAAGCAUCACUGAAUCAUUGAAUAUUUGAGUUGAAAGGAAUCACAUAGGCCAUCUAGUCCAACUCUGUGACCCAUAUCACUUAGGAAUACACAACUAAAACAUUCCCGAAAAAUGCCCAUCCAAGCUCUGUUUUAAGGAUCCUCAAAGACGGAGAGUCCAUCCUGCCUCAUCAGGCUGGCCAAUAUUCUUCCUAAUGUUUACUUGUAAUUUGAAUUCAUUGGUCCAUGUUGUAGCCUGAGAAGCAUCAGAAAACAAACUCACUCCAUCUUUUACAUUACAUCCCUUCAGAUAAUUAAAGCUUGCUGUCAUGUCACCUUUGAGUCUCCUUUUCUGCAAGCUAAAUUUGGAUUCCAAAUAGCAAUAGCCCACUAUAUUCUGCAUUGGUCAGGCCUCAUCUGGAGCACUGCAUUGGGUGAGCACUGGGUGGGUUUGAUAGAACCAGGUCUCAUGAUUUGAAGAAGAUUCCAAUUGAAUAUUAGAAGUAAGUUGAUACUUAAAGCAGUUCUGUAAUGGAAGCAAUUGCCUAAAGAGGUGGUAGGGUCUUCUUCUUUGGAUAUCUUUAAAAAGAACCAGCUAACUGCUGGUUAUGUUUUAGGUGAAACUCUUACCUUGAACAGGGCUUUGGGCUUGAUGACCAAUGCAGCCUUUCCAACUCCAUGUCACUGUGGUCACCUUUCUCUGGACACAGUCCAACUUGUUCAGCUUGUCUGAACAUGUUCAAGCAUCAGCUUGUUAUCAUUUCCAAACUAGUGAAACAUGAUGUGUUAAAAAAAAUCCCCAAAGCUGUCAUCUCUUGUUGUAAUGUUUCAUAUUAGCCAAGUUUUUAAAAUAUUCUUCAAGAGUAUUCUCUGUGCAUUAUUAUAUUCCAAACAGGAUCAGAAUAUGAAUAUCAAGCAACAAUCUCCCGAGACAGGCUUCUCGCUCUGCCUAUCAACCCAGACCCUUUCCCCCCAGUUC
This is a long non-coding RNA of Anolis carolinensis (green anole), 18830 nucleotides long. RefSeq lists it as uncharacterized. The record is from RefSeq and is a predicted model, not a curated record. NCBI's taxonomy places the organism in Eukaryota, Metazoa, Chordata, Lepidosauria, Squamata, Anolidae. The transcript is spliced from 2 exons.